RNAcentral lists this long non-coding RNA (532 nucleotides) under Mytilus galloprovincialis (Mediterranean mussel). Lineage: Eukaryota; Metazoa; Mollusca; Bivalvia; Mytilida; Mytilidae. The record is from RNAcentral.
UAUGGAUAGUUUUGUUUCGCCAGCAUACAAUAUAAUUGCAGUUGAAGGCAAAUCCUUCAGAAGUUCUUUGUACUUUAUUCUAACAACGAACAUGUUUUGAUAGGGUAUAUAUAAGUAAGGGGGAAAGUAACCAAUUUUUUGUUCUUUACUCCGGUAUUUCCGCUGAUAUAGAUUUAUAUCGGAGAUACAAAUCCUUGAUCGGAGCACUCCCGCUUUGGAUAAGUAGGUUUCAUGCUGAAACAAUAUUCUCACAGAUAUUUACAAAGUGUGCUGGGGUGCUUUUAUGUUUAAAAUCGUUAUAUAGAGGUUAGACUGUGAUUUUAAAAACAAAUGUUGAUAUCUUUUUAUAAUGUUUACAACUAGAGGCUCUAAAGAGCAUGUGUCGCUCACCUUGGUCUUGUGCAUAUUAAACAAUGGACACGGAUAAAUUCAUGACAUAAUUGUGUUUUGGUGAUAGUGAUGUGUUUGUAGAUCUUACUUUACUGAACAUUCUUGUUGCUACAAUCAUCUCUAUCUAUAAUGAACUUGGCCC